UUUAAAUGGCCGCAGUAUACUAACUGUGCAAAGGUAGCAUAAUCAUUAGUCUUUUAAUUGGAGGCUGGUAUGAAUGGUUGGACGAGAUAUUAACUGUUUCAUUUAAAUUUAUAAUAGAAUUUUAUUUUUUAGUCAAAAAGCUAAAAUUUAAUUAAAAGACGAGAAGACCCUAUAAAUCUUUAUAUACAUAUUAUUAGAAUUUUGUAGAUUUUUUUUAUUAUAAUAAUUGAUUAUAUUUUAUUGGGGUGAUAUUAAAAUUUAAUAAACUUUUAAUUUUAAAAAUCAUUAAUUUAUGAGUAAUUGAUCCGUUAUUAGCGAUUAAAAAUUUAAGUUACUUUAGGGAUAACAGCGUAAUUUUUUUGGAGAGUUCAUAUCGAUAAAAAAGAUUGCGACCUCGAUGUUGGAUUAAGAGAU
Molecule: ribosomal RNA, 414 nt
Filed under: Peckia collusor
Lineage: Eukaryota; Metazoa; Arthropoda; Insecta; Diptera; Sarcophagidae
Description: partial 16S ribosomal RNA
Rfam family: Bacterial large subunit ribosomal RNA
Source: RNAcentral